UUUUUUUGUGUAUUUCGGAAUAUCUAACUUUGAUUUUUUGUUUAAAAAAGUAAAUUAAUCAAGUAGGAUUUACGGAAGGAGAACCUUGAAUUCUUUGAGGCGUAUACUUGACAGCCGUCAUAUCAACUUCACUCGCCGGCAACAACACUCUCUUCUUCCCCAUUCUAACAAAAGGCAAUUUAUUCAAAACUAUUAAAAUCACUAAACAAUCACUUAAUUUAAACUUUUAGAUUGCAUAAAUUGAACGAAUACGCAACCUAAGAAUCUUUCAAAAUUCUGCUAUGCAACUCAAAAAUUAACUUAGCGGAAAAUGAAGAUUUUCGCGAAGCGGUGAAGCUUUAACAGACUAACAUUGAAUAAGCAAUUUAUUUGAAAGGCCUUUUAUACAGCGGUUGAAGGCUAUCAUGCGGCAGCAAUGACAAUUAAACUAAGCUUCUUUUUUUUUUUCUUUUCUGAAGCUGGUUUGUUGGGGAAAGUGGCG
RNAcentral lists this long non-coding RNA (481 nucleotides) under Nicotiana tabacum (common tobacco). RNAcentral's name for it is "long non-coding RNA (NTAB_LNC018418)". The record is from RNAcentral. Lineage: Eukaryota; Viridiplantae; Streptophyta; Magnoliopsida; Solanales; Solanaceae.